Bombina bombina (fire-bellied toad) is the source of this 3234-nucleotide long non-coding RNA. RefSeq lists it as uncharacterized. The record is from RefSeq and is a predicted model, not a curated record. NCBI's taxonomy places the organism in Eukaryota, Metazoa, Chordata, Amphibia, Anura, Bombinatoridae. The transcript is spliced from 2 exons.
UAAUUCUGCACUAUGUGCAGAAUUAUAUAACAUUAUUUUUAAGGUUUACUGUCCCUUUAAAUACUGUUGCAUGGGCCCUCUCAGAUAUGUACAUAUGCCUCUGAAAAACAGCAAUAACUUUAAUAGAUUUGUUUUUGCUAAUGGAAGUAUAUUGCAAAAAUGCUUCUAUUUCAAAUCUAAAUCAUCCGUGCAUAUUUACAUUUUGACCUUUCUAUCCCUUUAGUUUGUAGACUUUGUCAAUUAGCCAAUUAGAAAAUGCUCAGUUGUGCCACUGAGGAAGCUCAUGUGUGCGCUUUAUCGUACCUAGACAGAGUACUUUGAAUGUGUGUCCACUACUACAGCAGCACAAAUCUGUUUUAUCCCACUAGAAAGAGAGCAAGACUAGAGCCUUGGGUGUAGGCUCCCCUAGAAGAAUAGUGCUCGAGUGAUAUGGCGUCUGAUUGGCUGUAUCAUCCUAUGACUAUGAAAUAGGCAGGGGGAAACACUGAUUACAAGAGCUGGACUGAAGCUGCAUAUUCAGUAAGUUGCUGCUAUUAGACUGCAAAAAAACAUAUACCUGCAUUUAUGAAAAACCUGCCUAGAAAUGCUUAAUAGGCUAUGUUCUCCGCCAAUAUGCAUGUGCACAAAAUACUACCAAUAAAAUAUAGCUAGGAUUUAAACAAAUGCAUCAUUUUGAAACCAAAAUUCAGAAUAGUGAGAAAAGCUGAGAUUUUGUAAAUUUCUCCUUUAUUGUUGAAGUUUUAUUUAGGAAUUGAGCACUAGAGUAGACCUACAAGGACGCAAUGGUUGAACCAGGCGCAGCCUAUGUAAAGAUUGAAAACUCAUCAAAUUUGGCAGAAUGACGGAAUAUCAAUUGUCUAGGGUUGCUGACCCCUUGUCUAGGGAAUAAAAAAAAAAAUCUGAGCUGUGCGUUUCUAAAACUAUCUAUUACUUUUCUAUUGUACAUUCCACUAAACAAUUGACCAGUCUCUUUGAAAUAUGUUGAUGUGAGACAGAUUUUUAAAUUUGUCUCCUCUCCAAGAAAACAAAAAUUUAAAGGCAACUGUCUAACUCCAGAAUAAUUUUACCUGCAAAGGGAAAUUAAAAGCUUUAAAGAUGUGGUACUUCUGGUCAGGUUUCAAUUGUUUGGUGCUCAUUACUAUUAAGAAUAAAUGGUACUGCACUAUAAUUAAUAAAUAUUUAAUUUAAUAAAGGGGGAUCUCGUCAAUAACUUAUAGUAAAUAAUACGUGAUGGACGCUGAGCGCACCAUCUGCAGGUGCAAUAGAAUAUUCAAUUUUAAUAUUUUAGGAAUAGAUCAGCAUUAUUCAAUUUACAAACGUAUUGGAUGGAUAUAUAUAUAUUAUAUUUAUGAUUUAUGCUAACAUUUCUUUAAAACACGGUCAACCAAAAUUUCCAUUGCAGUCAUGGGACUUGAGUCCAUUGUAUUUUUUAAAAAUGUGAAUAGCUUUAAAAAAAUGAGUCCUAUUGACAAGAGUAUAUGGUUUAACCACAUUGUAGCGUUUAUAUUUUUGUUCUCCCUAAUUUAAUGUUUGAGCUAGAAAUUCCUGCUCUCUACAAAAGCAUUAUAGGGUUUUUCUAUUAUAUGAGUUGUGUGGUUCCAGAACUAGAUAGCAGCUUUGAAAUGUAUUGUCAUUGUCUGUCUGCCCAAGGAAAACCUUAGUACAGGGUGGCAAACUUAUGAUGCAAAAGCCCAAGGUGCUUCUCCAUAAUAAAUUUGUCUAGUCUACCACCAUACUCUUUGGUUGUAGUGUAGUGCUUAAUAAAUUAUUUUUCUUAUUUAUCAGCAGGUAAACUUUAAUUGUUGGCUUAUUGAUGAUUCUUAAGCAUUAAAGGGACAUUAAAACAAUAUUUAAUAUAGGAAAGUACCAUAGGCACAUGGAAAUUCUUUUUAGAUGAUUACCACCCAAUUGUGCACACGCUCUAAAAGUGUUCCAUCUCACGUUUGUAUAUCAUUGGGCUUUUGCUAACAAGUAAAUUUCAUAUAAAGAACAACUUUGCCUUUUGAGUAAAUUGAAAUCUAUUUUUUCCCACAAUAAUUUGUAGAGAUUACAUCAACCUCUGAUACUUAUGUGGUUAUAUGGAAUUUCUGUUUUAUUGAAGAAAAAGGGAAUCUUAUAUGCAGGAAAUGGAUCAAUAGGGCUUGGUGCAAAUUGGACAAGUGAGCAUCUAUACAAAAUUAUAAAAACCAAAAUAUAUGGUUCUUUACCGUUUUUGUUUUUGUAAAAAGACAAUGUCCUGAUCAUUUGUUUUUGUCAGUAUAUUUUUUUUUAUAGGAACAUAAUACCUAAGAUUAGUUUUGUUUCUAUGGCUUUGUGUUUUAUGGAUUAGGCAAAACCCACAAAUGUAAUUUGUGUUCACACUCAUUUUUGUUUUGUUUUAAAAGAUAUAACUUUUGUUUGUUAUUUACAAAUGUCUUUUAGCUAGAGACUUAAUUGACAACGUUGUCAUCAAUUCUAAAUUUGUCCAUAGUCUACAAAUAAGAAAUACUAUUUACACCUUAUUUCCUCUUAAAUGUUUUUAUACUUUUCACGCCCUGGAGUAAUCGCUUAAUUAGCAUCCCUGAUUGUGAGCGAUCAUUACUCAAGUACAUUGUGCAGAGAGUGCUGUUGAUUUUGCAUGUGAAUUCAUCAUCACUCUCUGAUUGUUAAUAUGGGAAAGAAUUAAGACUAAAGAGGAAAAAUUAUAGACGUGCACUUUUUGUAAUUCAUUUGAAUUUGAACACUUUUUCCCCUAAAAUGUUAAACAAAUCUUAAUAAAUGUUGUAUUUGUUUUAUUGAUUAUUAGAGCAAAGUGAGCAAAUCAACAAAUUUCUAAAAGAACGUGUUUCUUUUGCAUAAGAGAGAGUAAAUUUAAAGUUGAUGAAAAUGUUGACAUUUAUGUCCUUUUUUUAAUUUGGCGUCUUUUUUUCAUUUGUUAGAUUCCUGUUUUGUUCUGUAACAUAUAUAUAUAUAUAUAUAUAUAUAUAUAUAUAUAUAUAUAUAUAAAAUCUCUAAACCAAUAAGCCAUUAUAACUAAUAAGAAUGACUGACUGUUUUUGCGGUAUGACUAAUUACCAAGACAUAUUUCUUGAACAAUGAAUGUCAUUUCUUGGAGGACUUCCUCAAAGCAUGAUGUUUAGCUGAAGGGGGUGCUUAGCAUGGUGCUGAAUAGUAAAAUAAUCCCUAACAAAACCAGUGCUGUUUACAGAGUUCUUUAUAUUUUUGUGCUUUUUCAAUAAAUAGUUUUUACAGUAA